Molecule: ribosomal RNA, 492 nt
Filed under: uncultured bacterium
Lineage: Bacteria
Description: partial 16S ribosomal RNA
Rfam family: Bacterial small subunit ribosomal RNA
Source: RNAcentral
AGUGAACGCUGGCGGUAGGCCUAACACAUGCAAGUCGAACGGCAGCACAGUAAGAUCUUGCUCUUACGGGUGGCGAGUGGCGGACGGGUGAGGAAUGCAUCGGAAUCUACUUUUUCGUGGGGGUUAACGUAGGGAAACUUACGCUAAUACCGCAUACGACCUACGGGUGAAAGAAGGGGAUCUUUGGACCUUGUGCGAUUGAAUGAGCCGAUGUCGGAUUAGCUAGUUGGCGGGGUAAACGCCUGACAAUGCUAGGAUCCGUAGCCGGUAUGAGUGAGUGAUAGGCCACACUGGAACGGAGACACGGUCCAGAGUCCUACGGGAGGCAGCAGUGUGGAAUAUUGGACAAAGGGAGCGAACCUGAUCCAACCAUACCGAGUGGGUUAAGGAAGCCUUCCGGUUGUAAAGCCCUUUUGUUGGUAGAGAAGAGCAGCAGGUUAAUACCCAGCUGUUCUGACGGUACCGAAAGAAUAAGCACCGGCUAACUUCGUG